UUCUCUCCCAGGACAGCAGUCGCUCCGGAUGGAUGCCGGCUGAGGCUCUUCUGGAAUUAAAGUACCUGGACCUAAGCCCAGCUGAUUUUAAACACUUGGCCAAGUUAAGCCCCACUGUUUUUCAACGCCGAAUGAAUACCUUCUCCCUGCUGCUGUUUUCCUGGGACAGAAAAUGAAAACUGAAUGAAUUGAACAAUAGGAUUUGUUUUGACUACGGAUAUUUUCAUGUACGCUGUGACUAAUAGCCUAAUUAUUUUCCUUUUUCUCUUGUCA
Lynx canadensis (Canada lynx) is the source of this 273-nucleotide long non-coding RNA. RefSeq lists it as uncharacterized. The transcript is spliced from 3 exons. Lineage: Eukaryota; Metazoa; Chordata; Mammalia; Carnivora; Felidae. The record is from RefSeq and is a predicted model, not a curated record.